Molecule: ribosomal RNA, 116 nt
Filed under: Salmonella enterica subsp. enterica serovar Derby
Lineage: Bacteria; Pseudomonadati; Pseudomonadota; Gammaproteobacteria; Enterobacterales; Enterobacteriaceae
Also listed under: 2 other names
Source: RNAcentral
GCUGGCGGCACUAGCGCGGUGGUCCCACCUGACCCCAUGCCGAACUCAGAAGUGAAACGCCGUAGCGCCGAUGGUAGUGUGGGGUCUCCCCAUGCGAGAGUAGGGAACUGCCAGGC